Long non-coding RNA from Pan troglodytes (chimpanzee), 1549 nucleotides. RefSeq lists it as uncharacterized. NCBI's taxonomy places the organism in Eukaryota, Metazoa, Chordata, Mammalia, Primates, Hominidae. The transcript has 3 exons. The record is from RefSeq and is a predicted model, not a curated record.
GAGAGAGUAAGAGAGGUGGUUUCCCUCGCAGAGCAUGUGCAGGGCUGGGUGGAAAGGGCACCCAGUCAGUGAAGUGGCCAAGGGCACACACGCCAGCACAGACUGCCCGGGUUCCCUGUGUGUCCUUGAACAGGAUCCUCAACUUCUCCCGGCUUCCUUUUCCUACUUGGGUAAAAACCUCACAGGUUAUCAUGAAGAUAAAAUUAGAAAACCCAUUUGAAAUGUUUAACAACACCUGGUAUAUAGUAAGUGUUUGGUUAAUACAGGUAACUUCUCUAGGAACCGGGGACGUAGCAGCGAGCAAAGCCAAGUCCCUGCUCUCCUGGAUCUUGCAUUCUGGGGGAGGAAGUGCUAAGACACAUGGAUGUGUGCUACUGUCAGAUGAUGGUGCCACUGGGGAGAACAUGAAGCAGGAUGAGGGGCAGUGAGAGGCGGGGACUGAUUUGGAGGGUCAGGGCAGGGGCAUUUGUGCAGGGAACAGAAUGAAGUGGAAAUUAUAGGAAUUAUGGUUAUAUGAUUUUUUUUCUUUUUCUUUUUUCUUUUUCUGAGACAUGGUCUCACCCUGUCACCCAGGCUGCAGUGCAGUGGCAUGAUCUCCGUUCACUGCAACCUCCACCUCCCAGGCUCAAGGGAUCCUCCUAUCUCAGCCUUCGGAGUUGCUGGGACUACAGGCGCAGACCACCACGCCCAGCUAUUUUUUGUAUUUUUUUUUGUUAGAGACGGGGUUUCACCAUAUUGCCCAGGCUCCUCUCCAACUCCUGGACUCAAGCAAUCCACCUGCCUUGGCCUCCCAAAGUGCUCGGAUUACACGGACCGUGAAGGGGGACCGAGUCUUGGUGGCUCACGUGGCUGACUCUCCACAAACGGCUGUAGGACAAGCAUGUUUCUGUCUGUGAGGGCUGAGCACAGUGAGUCACGCCUGUAAUCCCAGCACCUUGGGUGGCCGAGGCGGGAGGAUCACUGGAGGCCAGGAGUUCAAGACCAGCCUGGGGAACAUAGGAAGACCCCCGUCUCUACAAAAAAUAAAAAAAUUAGCUUGGCGUGGUGGCACGAAGCUGUAGGUGGGAGAGUCACUAAAGUCCAGAGGUCGAGGAUGCAGUGAGCUGUGAUUGCACCACUGCACCCCAGCCUGGGCGACAGUGAGACCCUGUCUCGAAAAACAAAAAUUCCUUUCAGAACCUGUUUUUGGAACAUACAAGUUGGCCUGGCCACAUUUCCAGUCUAUUUCAUUUUUGUCUUGAGUGAUCACUACACUUGGUACCAAGACACUUCGUGCUGGUUCCAAAUAACGAAUUUAAAAGAUUCCUGCAAGAAGAAUGAGAAGGCUGCCGGGCGCGGUGGCUCACGCCUGUAAUCCCAGCACUUUGGGAGGCCGAGGCGGGCAGAUCACGAGGUCAGGAGAUCGAGACCAUCCUGGUUAACACGGUGAAACCCCGUCUCUACUAAAAAUACAAAAAAUUAGCCGGGCGUGGUGGCGGGUGCCUGUAGUCCCAGCUACUCAGGAGGCUGAGGCAGGAGAAUGCGUGAACCCGGGAGGUGGAGCUUGCAG